This 546-nucleotide long non-coding RNA is filed under the name Gallus gallus (chicken). Lineage: Eukaryota; Metazoa; Chordata; Aves; Galliformes; Phasianidae. The record is from RNAcentral.
GAGGCGCCAUCUUGUAUCUGCCUGCCUUCCACGGAGAGGAGACCCCAUUUUGGGACACUUGGUAACCCACGUGUCUUUGUAUCCUCUCAGAUUGGCUGAGUCACAUUUGUUAAAUGCCAUUGUCUUCUCAGGUCUGUCCUGAACGGCUGCUUGCUUCCUCCAGCUACGGGAGGGCUCUGGUGUAGAAACGCAGGGGUUUAGAUGCAACUGUGCAGCCCAGAUGAUACUGUUAAAACUCGGCUGCGUUUGCCCACACAGCAUUCUGAGUAGCUACGCUCUGCGUCGGUGGAAAUGCUGCGCAUGGGCAGAGCAUCCUCUUAUCCACAGACUGCUGCGGCGCAGCCUUUGGGGAGCAGUAGAGCCCCUUCCUUUGGAAGCACCUCGGCAGACUCAGGGCCCGUAAGCCACGAUGUUACGCUGCGGUACCACCGGGUGCAGCGCAGAUACUCACUCCAGCGACAGGACUACCCUCACUUUGUGCUACUGCAGUGCGCUAGGGAAAUGUCGUGGGUCUGGCUAGGGCAGAGAUCUUUUUCUUCUGGCAGG